RNAcentral lists this ribosomal RNA (467 nucleotides) under uncultured bacterium. RNAcentral describes it as "partial 16S ribosomal RNA". It matches the Rfam family "Bacterial small subunit ribosomal RNA", at positions 28 to 506 of the family's 1533-position model. The record is from RNAcentral.
GACGAACGCUGGCGGCGUGCUUAACACAUGCAAGUCGAACGGAAAGGCCCUGCUUUUGUGGGGUGCUCGAGUGGCGAACGGGUGAGUAACACGUGAGUAACCUGCCCUUGACUUUGGGAUAACUUCAGGAAACUGGGGCUAAUACCGGAUAGGAGCUCCUGCUGCAUGGUGGGGGUUGGAAAGUUUCGGCGGUUGGGGAUGGACUCGCGGCUUAUCAGCUUGUUGGUGGGGUAGUGGCUUACCAAGGCUUUGACGGGUAGCCGGCCUGAGAGGGUGACCGGCCACAUGGGGACUGAGAUACGGCCCAGACUCCUACGGGAGGCAGCAGUGGGGAAUAUUGCACAAUGGGCGGAAGCCUGAUGCAGCAACGCCGCGUGCGGGAUGACGGCCUUCGGGUGGUAAACCGCUUUAGCCUGUGACGAAGCGUGAGUGACGGUAAUGGGUAAAGAAGCACCGGCUAACUACGU